This 715-nucleotide ribosomal RNA is filed under the name Tintinnopsis acuminata. Its description in RNAcentral is "LSU rRNA". It matches the Rfam family "Eukaryotic large subunit ribosomal RNA", at positions 70 to 834 of the family's 3401-position model. Lineage: Eukaryota; Ciliophora; Spirotrichea; Tintinnida; Codonellidae. The record is from RNAcentral.
UAGGAUUCCCUCAGUACGGGCGACGGAAGCGGGAAAAGCCCACAUUGGUAAUCUCCGAGCUUGGGCUCGGCGAAUUGUAAUCUGAAGAUCGCUAGUCUAAUUGGAUCAGGCGUCAAAGUGCGCACGAGCGCGCCGCCAUAGAGGGUGAGAGCCCCGUACGACGCAGGAUCCUACCAAGGCUGGUGUUCGAAGAGUCGUGUACUUUGAUACUAGUGCACUAAGCGGGAGAUAAACUUCUUCUAAGGCUAAAUAUAAGUAGGAAACCGAUAGCGAACAAGUACUGUGAAGGAAAGAUGAAAAGCACUUUGGAAAGAAAGUUAAAAGACUUGAAAUCGUUGAGGCGGACCCGGUAGAAAUGUAUUCUAGCGAAGCGCUCUGGGAAGCCUCUACGGGGGCCACUUGAGCGCUAGCCGAGACAAGAUGGAGUCGCCUGAUGCCAGAGGCUGUGUGCGAGCGUGCUUGCAUGAGCGCAUGCUAGUCGGGUGUUAGGCGGCUUGAGGGGCCUUGAGCGAUCUUGUCAAAAUGGUUUUUACCGACUCGUCUUGAAACACGAACCAAGGAGUCUAAGACUAACGCGAGUAUGGUGGUGGAGAAACCAACAUGCGAAAUGAAAGUAAAUGAUGCCAAGCUCCCUGCAGCAUCGACCGACUUUUUUCUAUUGGAAGAGGUUUGAGUAAGAGCGUUAUUCUUAGGACCCGAAAGAUGGUGAAACUAU